RNAcentral lists this transfer RNA (77 nucleotides) under Planctomycetota bacterium. RNAcentral describes it as "tRNA-His". It matches the Rfam family "tRNA". Rfam says of the family: Transfer RNA (tRNA) molecules are approximately 80 nucleotides in length. Their secondary structure includes four short double-helical elements and three loops (D, anti-codon, and T loops). Lineage: Bacteria; Pseudomonadati; Planctomycetota. The record is from RNAcentral.
GUGGGUGUAGCUCAGUCGGUCAGAGCGCCAGAUUGUGGAUCUGGAAGUCGGGGGUUCAAGUCCCCUCACCCACCCCU